AGGCGAGGAGGGAGAGAGAGGGGGGAGGGAGGUGGAGCGCAUGGGCACUGCGCCUCUCCAGCAUGGCUACGGUGCUGUCACGGGCGCUGAAGCUGCCGGGAAAGAAGAGCCCAGACCUUGGGGAAUACGAUCCUCUCACUCAGGCUGACAGUGAUGAAAGUGAAGAUGACCUGGUACUCAACAUCCAGAAGAACGGGGGUGUCAAGAAUGGGAAGAGUCCCCCUGAGGAGGUGCAGGACCCUGACUCUGAUGUGGAGGUUGGGAUGACAAAGCAGCACACGUCAGAGAGCGCACCUGAGGGUUAUCCUGCAGAGGUGGCUGGGAGUUUGGAGCAGAAGACUGCUCCCUCUCUCAUGCCAUACUUGCGCACAGCGAUCUUUUUGCUCACUGUGGUGAUCUCGAUGAUUCUGGUGCUGGUGUGCGCAUUUCUAAUUCCCUGUCCCCCUAGAGACUUGCAUAACACGUGGAACCGCAACCUAGGGCAGGGAACAGGUGGUGUAUUAUCCCCACUGGAGCUGUGUGACGUGAACGGCGAUGGGCUCCCUGACAUCCUGAUUGUAUUCACUGCCUUGAUGAAUGCUAGCGUCAUGGGUGUCUCUAGGCCCUCCGUAACUGUGGUGGCCCUUUCUGGUAUGAAUGGCAGCACCCUGUGGUCCAUCCAGCUUCCAGAGGAGACUCGGAGUGUGCAGUGCAAAGGGCUGUCACUGGGGGCACCUGCAGAGCCCGUCUGUCUUGUUACAGGAACAUCAAAAUUUCUUAGCCUUCUCAGCGCCUCCACAGGCAAGACCAUCUGGACACUAAACUCCAUCCACCUUUCAAGUGGGAUCCUGGCUGCACCAGCUGCAACUCUUCCAGAUGUAGAUGGAGAUGGUUUUAGGGAUAUUGUUGUUCUGGCUCUCAAAGAGACACAGCCUGAUGUGUUUUUCAUCUUGGUGUCAGGAAAGACUGGGACUGCUUUGGGUGGGCCUGUGAGGUACAGCACCAAUGGAGAAGGGAAAGUGAUUGGCCCCCAAGUCCACAUUACCAGUCGGGGAGCCAUCUACAUCCUGUUUGGUUUUGGUAAUGUUCAAGCAGUUGCCCUGAGGGAUAUCUUUACUCAAGCCAGAAACAGGGACAGUUUUUCUGCAAUGCUGCAGCAGGAGGAACCAGAGUGGGAAAAGCGCAGAUCUGUCAACCUGUCAGAGCUCAUUGACAUUUACAGUGGGGGUGUCGACUUCCUGCAGACAAUGAAGACACCUGACACAAAUUGCAGCAACCUGCUCAUCACAUCCAAAGAGGGUUUGAUCCUGCUGCGGGGGCAAGACCUGGAGCCCCGCUGGACCUUGGAACUGCAGAACAUCAGCAGCGAGCCUGUACCAGGUUACUUCAGUGCUGACCAAACUCUGGACUUCCUGCUGCAAGCACAGACGGGAGAUGGGAACAAAAAGGUGAUGGUGGUAGAUGGCAAAUCCGGCCUCCCUCUUUGGAACCAGGAACUCCCAUGGCAGAAGCAACAACUCGAUGCACUGUCAGUCAUGACUUUGGACAAGAAGUCUGUUUUUCUCUUCUGGGCUGAUGAAGCACAGCCUGUGUUGCAAAGUUUGGUGAGCAAGCAUCCUUUCUUCACUUUGAGCAUCCUGGUGCCAGACCUGAGCGCCCAGGGCUUCACCACCUCUAUCUCCUCCAUCCUGUUUUUCCUACAGUCCUUUUGGACCUCACCAAUGCAACAGACAAAGUCAUUGCUUCAGCAGUUGGAAUUAAUGACCUCCAGAAGGAUGCAUUUCAAAUCACUGUGACAACAACUGCAACCUCUGAAAAACAGCCAGGAUUUCUCUCAGUCAGCAAACUGGGCCUGAAGUGGGCCAUGAUGAGUCAAGGUCGAAUGGUGUGGCUGAAGGACACCACCACUCCCAAAAUCAGCCGUGGAGAAGUGAGAAGAUUUCUUGCCUGGCUGAAAUUUGUUGACUUUCCUCAACGGCUCUAGCCUGGUGGUUCCUCAGAUUUUGGUUGAACCUGUGGCCUGUACGGGGAAUACAUGAAGCUGCUCUGUGGAUCUCCAGGAAAACUGUUGCGUAGAGGGAAUAGGGGCUAAAAGCACUUCCCCUUUCUACCACUCUCUGGGGAAUGCUGCUUGAGGCAGGUUUGUCCAAGGCAGACCUGUCCUGUACCAGAGGAACUUUGUUCAGCAUCUCCCCCUCCAUAUGCCAUUCUUGCAUGCUUCCUUCCAGGUAACACAGAAAUGUGAAUUUAGAAUUUAUAUACAUAUAUAUAUAAAAAAACAGGUUUUAUAUAUAUAUGUAUCAAGUUAUAGAAUAUAUGUAUAUUUUUUGUAUGUUUAAUUUAUAAAUGAGAUUUAGGACACUCCUUUUUAUGUCCAAACAGUAUUCCCAGACAGUCAGACAAGCUCCAGGCCUAGAGUGGGCCAUGAUGACUCAAGGCAAACGAUGUGGCUAAAGGCAUCACCUGCUUUAGUCUUCUAUAUUUUUGGGCAGAAGCUUCUGUCUGGCCCCUGCAGGGCUAAUCUUGUCUACAACCUUUCCUGUGCUCUCAGCCCUCUUCUCCAUUCUCACCCCAAACUCACAAACAAAUUAGGUCUCUGGCUGAAUUAGAGAAAUCUAGAGAAAGAUGGUCCCCACAGCAUUUGCCAGCCUUGCACUUGUAUAUUUCUUUCCCCAGUUCCAAGUUCAGGACAGGUUUGUGUGGGUGAUGCAAAAAGGUUCACAUCUUAUUUAUAUCCAUUGCUAAGCUUUUUAUAAACCCAAAGUAACAUCACACUGCAGUCCAAUGGGCAGAGUCCUCUUUUGCAAAAGCAUCACAGCCCUUUUGGGAUAGAUUCCCAGCAGAUCCCCACUGUCACUGUAAAGAUCACACUAGGUACAGUCAUAGCAAAGCUGAUUCUUGCACCACUGCUUCAGGGUUUAGAUCUCAGGCAGAGGCAGAACUGGAAAGCUUUUCUGUGCAUUUAACCCCAUUAAUAUUCUGGGCCUAGUGUUACCAUUCCCUUGCCAGCCCAGCCCUAUGUGCGGUUCCAGGAGGAACAGACUACCCCCAGGGUGCAUUUGCUCACAGUAUGUUUAGUGCUUUGAAGUAUGCCUCUGAGUGUGCCAUCAGUCUUCUGUGUUGUAGUUGCAGAGCAUCUACAUGUAUUUUCUUGGACUAGAAAUGCCCAUAUAAAAAUCAACCACUCUGAUGCCUCAGCAGCUCCCCAUAGUGCAGGGCAACAACAUAGGAACUCUUUUCCUAGUAUGCCUUUCUAGGUCUGACCUUUGAUAUUAGGCAGAACCAGGCCGAGAUGAGGAUUGCAAAGGACUUUUCUGUUCUCCUGCUGGCACAUGCCUUUCCAGCCUCUCUCUGCUUCCCUUUGAGUGGUGAGGUGAUGGCAGGACUUUAACCCUCCCUCCAGAUAAACACAUCUACCAUGGGUUUGCUCUCCUGGGCUCUUGACACCUCUCCUUGCUAUAUCACCCUCUCUCUUUGCCAUCCCUGCCUUUCCAUAUAAAGCUUCCAGGAUAUCCCUUCAGGAUUAGCUGUAAGCCCCAAGGCUGGUCCUUGGGCCCUGCACUCCUAAUGUCAGAGCCUGUCAACAGUUUGUAUAUGUUUAAUGGUAUUUUUGUGUAAAUAGCUUUGUAUAUAUUAGCCCAACUGUAGCAAUGGCUCCAGGCCUGGCAUUUUCUUCCAGACAGGGGUUAGUAUUUAUAAUAUAUAGUCAGUUAAUACAGCUGCAUAACAGGGACUGAAAGUGUGAGGACCAGUAACAUGAGGAUUAAACAGGAGUCCCCCUUCCCUCCUUUCUAGCCACCACCUUGCUGGGAAAGGUGAAGCGGCUGUUACCUGAAGUAGUUAUUUUCCUGAGGUUCUUCUUGAGAAAACUGGUAUUCGAGUGCAGUGAUGUUUACUGUGAGGGUGGUGAGGCCCUGGCACAGGUUGCCCAGAGAAGCUGUGGCUGCCCCAUCCCUGGCAGUGUUCAAGGCCAGGCUGGGUGGGGCUUGAAGCAACCUGCUCUAGUGGAAGGUGUCCCUGCCUGUGGCAGGGGGUUGGAACUGGAUGAGCUUUAACCCAAACCAACCUUCCAACCCAAACCACUCCACGAUUCUAUGAUUCUAUGUUAGCUCCUCCAUAAUGUGAAUUCACUCUGCCCGCACACACACAUCCCCACUGUGAAUAAAGAGUCUGUCUGUAUAUUGUUGGGAAAAUGUAUUUGAACUGUGAACUGCAGUGGAGCAAAUAAAUACCCUGUACAGCAUC
Strigops habroptila (Kakapo) is the source of this 4224-nucleotide RNA transcript. It is a transcript of the gene named family with sequence similarity 234 member B, with no coding region annotated. NCBI's taxonomy places the organism in Eukaryota, Metazoa, Chordata, Aves, Psittaciformes, Psittacidae. The record is from RefSeq and is a predicted model, not a curated record. The transcript is spliced from 13 exons.